This 1347-nucleotide ribosomal RNA is filed under the name Triticum aestivum (bread wheat). RNAcentral describes it as "partial small subunit ribosomal RNA". The record is from RNAcentral. Lineage: Eukaryota; Viridiplantae; Streptophyta; Magnoliopsida; Poales; Poaceae.
AUGUCUUGCACCAGAAGAGUAUGGUUUUUUUUCAUAGAUGGUCCGGGAGGUACAGAAAAAACGUACCUUUAUAAGGCUUUGCUCGCUAAAGUGCGGUCGAUGGGGCGAAUAGGUAUCGCAACAGCAACGUCAGGCAUUGCUGCGUCUAUCAUGCCUGGCGGUAGAACAGCACAUUCCAGGUUCAAAAUUCCCAUUAAUAUUCAGGAUGACAGCAUGUGCAACUUCAGUAAACAGAGUGGAACUGCAGAAUUACUCAAGAGGUCAUCUUUAAUAAUUUGGGACAAAGUUGCUAUGACAAAGUGUCAAGCUGUGGAGGCACUUGAUAGAUCCCUGCGAGAUAUCACCGGUUGUGGAUCACCCUUUGGAGGAAAAGUAGUAGUGUUUGGAGGUGAUUUUAGACAGGUUCUUCCAGUGGUGAGGCAUGGCACUAGAGCACAAUUUACAGAUGCUACACUAAAGAAGUCUUAUCUUUGGCAAGACAUAAAACAUAUCAAACUUUGGCGCAAUAUGAGGGCUUUGUUUGAUCCAUGGUUCUUUGAUUUUCUCCUUAGAAUUGGUAACAGUACAGAGGAAUCGAUUGGUCAAGAAUAUGUGCGCCUGCCUGAAGAAAUUGUUAUAGGUUACACGGAUUUGAAAGCCUCUGUUAGUAAGUUAAUUGAUGACAUCUUUCCUCUAAUGGACAAAAAUGGAAACUCACCGUCCUAUAUUAGUGCACGUGCAAUUCUUUCCACAAAGAAUGAAUAUGUGGAUGAGUUAAAUGAUAUGCUUAUUGACCGAUUUCCUGGAGAAGAAAAGGUCUAUUACAGUUUUGACUCAGUGGUUGAUGAUCCACAUAAUCACUAUCAACCUGAGUUCCUAAAUUCACUCACACCUAAUGGCCUUCCUCCACAUAUUCUCAGAUUGAAGAUCAACUGCCCUGUUAUUUUGAUUCGCAACCUUGAUCCUUCUAAUAGUUUAUGCAAUGGUACAAGGCUUAUCAUUAAGGCAUUUCAAGAGAACACUAUUGAUGCAGAAAUUAUUGGCGGACAAUAUGCUGGGAAGCGAGUGUUCCUUCCACGAAUUCCUCUUUAUCCUUCAAAGGAUGAUGUUCUCCCCUUCAAGUUUAAAAGAAAGCAAUUUCCAAUUCGGCUUAGUUUUGCCAUGACAAUCAACAAAGCCCAGGGUCAAACCAUCCCAAAUGUUGGCAUCUAUCUUCCUGAGCUGGUGUUCUCUCAUGGCCAACUCUAUGUCGCUCUGUCUAGAGGGAUAUCAAGACAAACAACUAUAGUACUUGCAAAACCAAAUAAGGAUAUUGACCCAUCAGGGAAAAGCACAAAAAAUAUUGUCUACAGGGAUGUUUUGGUAUAA